CGAAAGCCUGACGGAGCAAUACCGCGUGAGGGAUGAAAGCCUGUGGGUUGUAAACCUCUUUUCUCAAGGAAGAAGUUCUGACGGUACUUGAGGAAUAAGCAUCGGCUAACUCUGUGCCAGCAGCCGCGGUAAUACAGAGGAUGCAAGCGUUAUCCGGAAUCAUUGGGCGUAAAGAGUCCGUAGGUGGCUAAUCAAGUCCGAAGUUAAAGACAGAAGCUAAACUUCUGGAAAGCAGCGGAAACUGAAGAGCUAGAGUGUAGGAGAGGUAGAGGGAAUUCCCAGUGUAGCGGUGAAAUGCGUAGAGAUUGGGAAGAACACCAGUGGCGAAGGCGCUCUACUGGACUAAAACUGACACUGAGGGACGAAAGCUAGGGUAGCG
This 379-nucleotide ribosomal RNA is filed under the name uncultured cyanobacterium. Its description in RNAcentral is "bacterial SSU rRNA". It matches the Rfam family "Bacterial small subunit ribosomal RNA", at positions 376 to 770 of the family's 1533-position model. Lineage: Bacteria; Bacillati; Cyanobacteriota. The record is from RNAcentral.